This 28-nucleotide small RNA is filed under the name Bombyx mori (domestic silkworm). RNAcentral's name for it is "ovarian small RNA-34043". The record is from RNAcentral. Lineage: Eukaryota; Metazoa; Arthropoda; Insecta; Lepidoptera; Bombycidae.
UGCGUUUUUUAAGCCGAACGGCAUGCGC